Ictalurus punctatus (channel catfish) is the source of this 538-nucleotide long non-coding RNA. The record is from Ensembl. NCBI's taxonomy places the organism in Eukaryota, Metazoa, Chordata, Actinopteri, Siluriformes, Ictaluridae.
UUUCACAUUUAUUUUAUUUCUCCCCGAGUUCAUCACUGUUUGGUUUGGGUUUGUUUGAGGUUUGUUCGGGGUUUGUUCGGGGUUUGUUCGGGGUUUGUUCGGGGUUUGUUUGAGGUUUGUUCGGGGUUUGUUCGGGGUUUGUUCGGGGUUUGUUUGAGGUUUGUUCGGGGUUUGUUCGAGGUUUGUUCGGGGUUUGUUCGGGGUUUGUUCGGGGUUUGGCUAAUUUCAUGUGUUUGCUCACUAGUUAAGGCAUUGCCCUACUGAUCAGAAAGUCGUGAAUUCACUGCUAAGCUACCACUGCUGGGUCCUUCAGCAAGACUUAACCACUCAGUUGUAAAAAUGUAAAAGUAUAACGCUCUUUCACUUCUGUAAAUCGCUCUGGAUACGGGAAUCUGCCAAAUUCCAUAAAUAUUUUGAUCAGUGUUUGGUUUAGUCCCCCCAAACACUGAACACCACUUGAACACUGACCCCAACCCCCAUACACUAGUGCAAAGAUCCAAACGCUUAUUCAAACAUUAGAACACAAAACCAACCAAGA